RNAcentral lists this ribosomal RNA (384 nucleotides) under uncultured bacterium. RNAcentral's name for it is "bacterial SSU rRNA". It matches the Rfam family "Bacterial small subunit ribosomal RNA", at positions 30 to 416 of the family's 1533-position model. The record is from RNAcentral.
AUUGAACGCUGGCGGCAUGCCUUACACAUGCAAGUCGAACGGCAGCGGACCUUCGGGUGCCGGCGAGUGGCGAACGGGUGAGUAAUAUAUCGGAACGUACCUUUCAGUGGGGGAUAACGUAGCGAAAGUUACGCUAACACCGCAUAUUCUGUGAGCAGGAAAGCAGGGGAUCGCAAGACCUUGCGCUGAUUGAGCGGCCGAUAUCAGAUUAGCUAGUUGGUGAGGUAAAGGCUCACCAAGGCGACGAUCUGUAGCGGGUCUGAGAGGAUGAUCCGCCACACUGGAACUGAGACACGGUCCAGACUCCUACGGGAGGCAGCAGUGGGGAAUUUUGGACAAUGGGCGCAAGCCUGAUCCAGCCAUGCCGCGUGAGUGAAGAAGGCC